RNAcentral lists this ribosomal RNA (253 nucleotides) under uncultured bacterium. RNAcentral's name for it is "partial 16S ribosomal RNA". It matches the Rfam family "Bacterial small subunit ribosomal RNA", at positions 524 to 776 of the family's 1533-position model. The record is from RNAcentral.
UACGUAGGGGGCAAGCGUUGUCCGGAAUCAUUGGGCGUAAAGCGCGUGUAGGCGGACUGGAAGGUCUGGUGUGAAAGCCCGGGGCUCAACCCCGGAGGGUCACUGGAAACCGACAGUCUCGAGUCCGGAAGAGGAGAGUGGAAUUCCUGGUGUAGCGGUGGAAUGCGCAGAUAUCAGGAGGAACACCUAUGGCGAAGGCAGCUCUCUGGUACGUGACUGACGCUGAGACGCGAAAGCGUGGGGAGCGAACAGG